RNAcentral lists this ribosomal RNA (273 nucleotides) under uncultured Staphylococcus sp. RNAcentral describes it as "partial 16S ribosomal RNA". It matches the Rfam family "Bacterial small subunit ribosomal RNA", at positions 89 to 355 of the family's 1533-position model. Lineage: Bacteria; Bacillati; Bacillota; Bacilli; Caryophanales; Staphylococcaceae. The record is from RNAcentral.
ACGUUAGCGGCGGACGGGUGAGUAACACGUGGGUAACCUACCUAUAAGACUGGGAUAACUUCGGGAAACCGGAGCUAAUACCGGAUAAUAUUUCGAACCGCAUGGUUCGAUAGUGAAAGAUGGUUUUGCUAUCACUUAUAGAUGGACCCGCGCCGUAUUAGCUAGUUGGUAAGGUAACGGCUUACCAAGGCGACGAUACGUAGCCGACCUGAGAGGGUGAUCGGCUACACUGGAACUGAGACACGGUCCAGACUCCUACGGGAGGCAGCAGCU